UGCCGUCGAACGGUCGCGUACUAAAAUGCCGUUAAUCAAUUUGUGUUCCGUUUUCCGUUGCCCUUUUGGUAUGUUUUUUUCGUCGCGUUUGCAUUAUUAUUGUAGUAACAAUUUGUGCUAAGUGCUAUAAGUUGAUUUUAAUUAAGGUGUACAUCUGGAUAUUAUCGGUUCAGGAUGGAGUUAGUUAAGUACCUAAUUAUUUUUCAUGACUGAAAUUAGCAUGCUGAAAAUUGGGGAUAGGUUCAGCUCAUUCGCUGACGCAAAGAAAGCGAUUGAGGAACUUGUUGAAAAUA
Sitophilus oryzae (rice weevil) is the source of this 293-nucleotide long non-coding RNA. RefSeq lists it as uncharacterized. The transcript has 2 exons. NCBI's taxonomy places the organism in Eukaryota, Metazoa, Arthropoda, Insecta, Coleoptera, Curculionidae. The record is from RefSeq and is a predicted model, not a curated record.